This 913-nucleotide ribosomal RNA is filed under the name uncultured bacterium. Its description in RNAcentral is "bacterial SSU rRNA". It matches the Rfam family "Bacterial small subunit ribosomal RNA", at positions 9 to 919 of the family's 1533-position model. The record is from RNAcentral.
GAGUUUGAUCCUUCCUCAGAUUGAACGCUGGCGGCAGGCCUAACACAUGCAAGUCGAGCGGUAGAGAGGUGCUUGCACCUCUUGAGAGCGGCGGACGGGUGAGUAAAGCCUAGGAAUCUGCCUGGUAGUGGGGGAUAACGCUCGGAAACGGACGCUAAUACCGCAUACGUCCUACGGGAGAAAGCAGGGGACCUUCGGGCCUUGCGCUAUCAGAUGAGCCUAGGUCGGAUUAGCUAGUUGGUGAGGUAAUGGCUCACCAAGGCGACGAUCCGUAACUGGUCUGAGAGGAUGAUCAGUCACACUGGAACUGAGACACGGUCCAGACUCCUACGGGAGGCAGCAGUGGGGAAUAUUGGACAAUGGGCGAAAGCCUGAUCCAGCCAUGCCGCGUGUGUGAAGAAGGUCUUCGGAUUGUAAAGCACUUUAAGUUGGGAGGAAGGGCAUUAACCUAAUACGUUAGUGUUUUGACGUUACCGACAGAAUAAGCACCGGCUAACUCUGUGCCAGCAGCCGCGGUAAUACAGAGGGUGCAAGCGUUAAUCGGAAUUACUGGGCGUAAAGCGCGCGUAGGUGGUUCGUUAAGUUGGAUGUGAAAUCCCCGGGCUCAACCUGGGAACUGCAUUCAAAACUGUCGAGCUAGAGUAUGGUAGAGGGUGGUGGAAUUUCCUGUGUAGCGGUGAAAUGCGUAGAUAUAGGAAGGAACACCAGUGGCGAAGGCGACCACCUGGACUGAUACUGACACUGAGGUGCGAAAGCGUGNGGAGCAAACAGGAUUAGAUACCCUGGUAGUCCACGCCGUNAACGAUGUCAACUAGCCGUUGGGAGCCUUGAGCUCUUAGUGGCGCAGCUAACGCAUUAAGUUGACCGCCUGGGGAGUACGGCCCGCAGGUAAAACUCAAUGAAUUGACGGGGA